Molecule: non-coding RNA, 21 nt
Filed under: Caenorhabditis elegans
Lineage: Eukaryota; Metazoa; Nematoda; Chromadorea; Rhabditida; Rhabditidae
Source: RNAcentral
UCGAAAAGACGCCUGUGCUUU